UACGUAGGGAGCGAGCGUUGUCCGGAAUUACUGGGUAUAAAGGGAGAGUAGGCGGGUUUAUAAGUUAAAUGUGAAAUUUAUGAGCUCAACUCAUGAACUGCGUUUAAAACUAUAGAUCUUGAGUGAAGCAGAGGCAGGUGGAAUUCCUAGUGUAGCGGUGAAAUGCGUAGAUAUUAGGAGGAACACCAGUGGCGAAGGCGGCCUGCUGGGCUUUUACUGACGCUGAGGCUCGAAAGCAUGGGGAG
Molecule: ribosomal RNA, 245 nt
Filed under: uncultured Oscillospiraceae bacterium
Lineage: Bacteria; Bacillati; Bacillota; Clostridia; Eubacteriales; Oscillospiraceae
Description: partial 16S ribosomal RNA
Rfam family: Bacterial small subunit ribosomal RNA
Source: RNAcentral